GUUAAGCGACUAAGCGUACACGGUGGAUGCCCUGGCAGUCAGAGGCGAUGAAGGACGUGCUAAUCUGCGAUAAGCGUCGGUAAGGUGAUAUGAACCGUUAUAACCGGCGAUUUCCGAAUGGGGAAACCCAGUGUGUUUCGACACACUAUCAUUAACUGAAUCCAUAGGUUAAUGAGGCGAACCGGGGGAACUGAAACAUCUAAGUACCCCGAGGAAAAGAAAUCAACCGAGAUUCCCCCAGUAGCGGCGAGCGAACGGGGAGCAGCCCAGAGCCUGAAUCAGUGUGUGUGUUAGUGGAAGCGUCUGGAAAGGCGCGCGAUACAGGGUGACAGCCCCGUACACAAAAAUGCACAUGCUGUGAGCUCGAUGAGUAGGGCGGGACACGUGGUAUCCUGUCUGAAUAUGGGGGGACCAUCCUCCAAGGCUAAAUACUCCUGACUGACCGAUAGUGAACCAGUACCGUGAGGGAAAGGCGAAAAGAACCCCGGCGAGGGGAGUGAAAAAGAACCUGAAACCGUGUACGUACAAGCAGUGGGAGCACGCUUAGGCGUGUGACUGCGUACCUUUUGUAUAAUGGGUCAGCGACUUAUAUUCUGUAGCAAGGUUAACCGAAUAGGGGAGCCGAAGGGAAACCGAGUCUUAACUGGGCGUUAAGUUGCAGGGUAUAGACCCGAAACCCGGUGAUCUAGCCAUGGGCAGGUUGAAGGUUGGGUAACACUAACUGGAGGACCGAACCGACUAAUGUUGAAAAAUUAGCGGAUGACUUGUGGCUGGGGGUGAAAGGCCAAUCAAACCGGGAGAUAGCUGGUUCUCCCCGAAAGCUAUUUAGGUAGCGCCUCGUGAAUUCAUCUCCGGGGGUAGAGCACUGUUUCGGCAAGGGGGUCAUCCCGACUUACCAACCCGAUGCAAACUGCGAAUACCGGAGAAUGUUAUCACGGGAGACACACGGCGGGUGCUAACGUCCGUCGUGAAGAGGGAAACAACCCAGACCGCCAGCUAAGGUCCCAAAGUCAUGGUUAAGUGGGAAACGAUGUGGGAAGGCCCAGACAGCCAGGAUGUUGGCUUAGAAGCAGCCAUCAUUUAAAGAAAGCGUAAUAGCUCACUGGUCGAGUCGGCCUGCGCGGAAGAUGUAACGGGGCUAAACCAUGCACCGAAGCUGCGGCAGCGACACUAUGUGUUGUUGGGUAGGGGAGCGUUCUGUAAGCCUGUGAAGGUGUGCUGUGAGGCAUGCUGGAGGUAUCAGAAGUGCGAAUGCUGACAUAAGUAACGAUAAAGCGGGUGAAAAGCCCGCUCGCCGGAAGACCAAGGGUUCCUGUCCAACGUUAAUCGGGGCAGGGUGAGUCGACCCCUAAGGCGAGGCCGAAAGGCGUAGUCGAUGGGAAACAGGUUAAUAUUCCUGUACUUGGUGUUACUGCGAAGGGGGGACGGAGAAGGCUAUGUUGGCCGGGCGACGGUUGUCCCGGUUUAAGCGUGUAGGCUGGUUUUCCAGGCAAAUCCGGAAAAUCAAGGCUGAGGCGUGAUGACGAGGCACUACGGUGCUGAAGCAACAAAUGCCCUGCU
RNAcentral lists this ribosomal RNA (1560 nucleotides) under Escherichia coli. RNAcentral's name for it is "partial 23S ribosomal RNA". It matches the Rfam family "Bacterial large subunit ribosomal RNA", at positions 1 to 1606 of the family's 2925-position model. The record is from RNAcentral. Lineage: Bacteria; Pseudomonadati; Pseudomonadota; Gammaproteobacteria; Enterobacterales; Enterobacteriaceae.